RNAcentral lists this ribosomal RNA (426 nucleotides) under Triticum aestivum (bread wheat). RNAcentral's name for it is "partial small subunit ribosomal RNA". Lineage: Eukaryota; Viridiplantae; Streptophyta; Magnoliopsida; Poales; Poaceae. The record is from RNAcentral.
AUGGAACUAGACAAAUUCCUCAUGAAUGGUGAGUACACCUUCGUCGGAUUCGCCAGUGAAGGAGAUAGAAGCAAGCUGAAGCUAUCUGGUUUGGAGAUCAACUCCGACAACUACAUUGAUAUUCAGGUGGAAUGGAGAGACCCAUACAAUAAAAAGAAGUUUGACUCUUUGGCUGAUGUUGCCGGCAGGAUGAUAGACAUUCACUACCAUGACAUGAAGAAUAAAAUUAACCGCAAGGAGGACCAUACUCUGUGGGGAUUCUGCCCACUGCCAGAAAAGCUUAUCAAGUAUGCAGCAAUAGAUGCAUUCGCAACAUAUGAGUCAUGGAGAAUCAUCUACGAUGUCAUCAUGGGACUGGACAGGGCAAAAAGAGACAAAGAAGCAAAGCAGAAGAAGAACAACGUUGUAAUCCAAUACAUCAACUAG